Molecule: ribosomal RNA, 497 nt
Filed under: uncultured bacterium
Lineage: Bacteria
Description: partial 16S ribosomal RNA
Rfam family: Bacterial small subunit ribosomal RNA
Source: RNAcentral
GAUGAACGCUGGCGGCGUGCCUAAUACAUGCAAGUCGAGCGAACGGACGAGAAGCUUGCUUCUCUGAUGUUAGCGGCGGACGGGUGAGUAACACGUGGAUAACCUACCUAUAAGACUGGGAUAACUUCGGGAAACCGGAGCUAAUACCGGAUAAUAUUUUGAACCGCAUGGUUCAAAAGUGAAAGACGGCCUUGCUGUCACUUAUAGAUGGAUCCGCGCUGCAUUAGCUAGUUGGUAAGGUAACGGCUUACCAAGGCAACGAUGCGUAGCCGACCUGAGAGGGUGAUCGGCCACACUGGAACUGAGACACGGUCCAGACUCCUACGGGAGGCAGCAGUAGGGAAUCUUCCGCAAUGGGCGAAAGCCUGACGGAGCAACGCCGCGUGAGUGAUGAAGGUCUUCGGAUCGUAAAACUCUGUUAUUAGGGAAGAACAUAUGUGUAAGUAACUGUGCACGUCUUGACGGUACCUAAUCAGAAAGCCACGGCUAACUACGUG